UUGGGAAUUUUGCACAAUGGACGAAAGUCUGAUGCAGCGACGCCGCGUGGGGGAUGAAGGUUUUCGGAUUGUAAACCCCUUUUACUUGGGAAUAAUUUGUGAAUGUACCAAGUGAAUAAGCACCGGCUAACUCCGUGCCAGCAGCCGCGGUAAUACGGAGGGUGCAAACGUUGUCCGGAAUUACUGGGCGUAAAGCGCAUGUAGGUGGUCUUGUAAGUCAGCGAUGAAAGACCGACGCUUAACGUCGGGAACGUUUCUGAUACUGCAAGACUGGAGGGAAGCAGGGUAUGCGGAACUUUGAGUGUAGGAGUGAAAUCCGUAGAUAUUCAAAGGAACACCAAUGGCGAAGGCAGCAUACUGGGCUUCUUCUGACACUGAGAUGCGAAAGCGUGGGGAGCGAACGGGAUUAGAUACCCCGGUAGUCCACGCUGUAAACGUUGCUGCACUAGGUCUUGGGAGGGUACGACCCCCUUUUGGACCGAAGCUAACGCGUUAAGUGAGCCGCCUGGGGAGUACGAACGCAAGUUU
RNAcentral lists this ribosomal RNA (528 nucleotides) under uncultured bacterium. RNAcentral describes it as "partial 16S ribosomal RNA". It matches the Rfam family "Bacterial small subunit ribosomal RNA", at positions 355 to 895 of the family's 1533-position model. The record is from RNAcentral.